AUAUUGGUGGAUAAGAUGGAUGAAGCUCAGCAGCCAUAUCUACCAGCACCACGAGAUAGAGCGGCGGGAGCCGGUUGCGUCUUCCCUUCGUUGCCUCUCGGGCGGAAGAAUUGUCGAUUGAUUUGUGUGGAUUAUGCAGUGAUGGCGUCGCUGGCGUGCUCCCUCUCAGCCCCCUGCAGCUCAUCCCUGCGAAGCAGCUUCCAAGGAGAGUCUCUUAUUGUCGACAAUGCCGGUUCGUUGUGCCAGGUGCAGCUGCAAGGCAAGGGAGCGCUCGUAAUCGAGGCCAAGGAGUCGAGGAUUGGAAAAGCCCCGAUUCCCGUGCCGAAGGGUGUUACUGUCAACCUCGAUGGCCAGAACUUGUCCGUCAAGGGUGCCCUCGGAGAGCUCGUGAGAACUUACCCCCGAGAGGUGAAGCUCACGAACUCGGGCGAGGUUCUGCUGGUGGAGAGGGCUGUGGAGUCCAGGAGAGCUCGCCAAAUGCACGGUCUCUUCAGGACAUUGACGGAUAACAUGGUUAUCGGAGUGAGCAAGGGAUUCGAGAAGAGACUCCAGCUCAUCGGUGUGGGAUACAGAGCAGCCGUAGAGAAGGACGAGCUAGCACUGAAUUUGGGAUUCUCCCACCAAGUGCGCAUGAAAAUUCCUGAGGCUAUCACUGUGAAGGUGGAGGAGAACACGAGGGUGAUAGUGUCGGGCAAAGACAAAUGCGCUGUGGGAGACUUUUCUGCCGCGGUCAGGAAGUGGAGGCCCCCGGAACCCUACAAGGGCAAAGCGAAAAAAUCCGCUGUAUGUAAAAACAUAGGUAUAAAUGGAGGUUUAAAUAGCAACCACAGUGAAGUUUUACAUCUUGUCACCAUCGGCAUGUCUCACAUCCUCCAGUCACCCCAUCUGCUUGUCCAUGUGUGUUUCACUUACAAUUGGGUGUGUGGCGUAUCAACCUGUGACUGAAAAAUGGAACUAGCAACGAUAGCUGGAAUCGGUGGAGGGAUCAAGGCAUUGUCCUCGUGGGGUACUGCAGUGGUUUGAGUGUUGCAUCAUCCACUUUUUAGAACCCCAAGCGCCGCUGUAUUUUUGGUUUGACUCAACACCAGAUUUUCUGCGUUGUUGCCCUUUCCUUGGCCCUGAUUCAAUUAAGGCUGGUGUUUGUGAUUAGUUGCAGUUUAAUUAUCAUUUAACAGCCCUCUUGAAGAUUCUGACUACUUCAAGAACUACAGAUCCAUCAUGCUCAAUCAAUUUAGUGCUAACCAUGUGGCUAAUUGGGACCCCGGACACGCAUUUAAGUGUUGAAUAUUAUCAGGGAUACAUGUAGUUCGGUGUGGACACGGUUAUCUAAAGGAAUGUGUAAUUUCGAAGAGAGUGUUGUGGGCAUUUGUGUUAGAGACGCUGAUAUAAUUGUGUGGGUUCUUGACAAAGAAUUUAUGCCAGCUUGUCUUUGUAGCCGGUACUUGUAUGUUAAGUUAUAGUUGCUACUUGUCAGUAGCUCUUGCAUCUACACACUCAAGAAUGAGCAUUUUUCUCAGUUGCUCUAUGUUCUCUUCCUGUGGAGAGUUUCAAGAUCGAUCGUUCGGAUGACGCCUGCUCUCCUAUGGAGAAAGGAAUCGUGGACUUGCAGGAUGUAGUGGGCUGGAAGUGGCUCAUUUCUUGCUUCGUGUGUUUGCGAAGAGGUGGGUUCGUCGUUCCCUGAGAAUCAGUCUAACGAAGAAGAGGAGUGUGGGUUCUGGACAUUGGCCAUGGGCGACGGCGGAAGCAGGGUGGUUUCAGCACCUAUCAGGUGGAUCGAAGAACCAGUGAUGAAUAGGAUUACAGCAGGAGAACUAUACGAGGACUCGCAACCUCCCCAGAUGAGAUUCUUUUCUUGCAUGAAAUUUUUAGGCUGAUCCGAUGAGGAUUCUUUCUUCCUGAGCCAAACCGCGUUCACUACUGCGUGGAGAUACUGUUUGCAAUUCUCACCCAGAAAGCAUCGACAAAUUGCACAAGGGCAAGAUAUGCAAAAUUUCUUCGGUUUUCUAUGAAAUUGAAAAAUAUUAUUUGUGGGUACUAUGUGAAGGUUUGAUAGAAUCAUUGCAUCAACAAGUUUGCACUUCAUACUAAUCUUCCAGGUCACACAGACUUAAUCGUUACUUCAAAUUUCAGCUUCAUUAUUCAUGUUUCCUCACAUGAACAAGAUCAUGAUCUCGCAGCAAAUUACUUCCAGGAGCAAACACACAGGAUAUGUUAAGUUGGUAAUGCUGUGCUGGGUUUACUUGAUUCAUGAUUUAGUUGCCGUUGUAAUACAAGGUUGAUGCGCUUUAUUGUAUUCUGUCAUGCUUUGCUUGACUGUACUGAUUUCCGGCCUGUGGAAUACCGUUUCUGCAAUGUGGUUAGCAGCAGGUGAUGGUGGAAAGCAACUUGACAAAGCUGCUGCUGAACAUGGAAACCAAGCACGUUCCAUUGCUGACGUCCAAUGUAGCUAGGUGCAGAUGAUACGAGGCUAGAGAGAUGAUGGUAGCUGUGCUGCAGUUCCUAGGCAAGACUCUUUCAACAGUUUGGCUAUUCCGAUGUUUGAGUAAUGAUUAUUGCAACUUCAACAAAGAUUUGGAGGAAUGUGUUAAUGAUGUUUUUUUGAAUCAUUUACCAGCAAUCUUAUUGCUGUUUAUUGUAUAAUUGAAUGUCAUGCUUAUAGUCCA
This is a non-coding RNA of Physcomitrium patens, 2663 nucleotides long. NCBI's taxonomy places the organism in Eukaryota, Viridiplantae, Streptophyta, Bryopsida, Funariales, Funariaceae. The record is from RefSeq and is a predicted model, not a curated record.